Molecule: long non-coding RNA, 234 nt
Filed under: Elaeis guineensis (African oil palm)
Lineage: Eukaryota; Viridiplantae; Streptophyta; Magnoliopsida; Arecales; Arecaceae
Description: long non-coding RNA (EGUI_LNC045142)
Source: RNAcentral
CUCAACUCAAACAGUCCUGUGACUCCUCACAAAGACUACCAUGGCCAAGAUUUUGCUAAAUUGAAACACAACUGUACACAGCUUCUAAACUGGAGUGGUCAAUCCCAUCUUAACACACGCACCGACAAGUCAAGUACUUGACUACACCCAGCAGCCUUCCGUCACUAAAUUAGAAAUUUAGGUAGUCCAGUGCCUAAGUACAGUGAGUUGCUUGCAAGUCACCAUGACGGUCUC